RNAcentral lists this ribosomal RNA (691 nucleotides) under Mucor circinelloides. RNAcentral's name for it is "eukaryotic LSU rRNA". It matches the Rfam family "Eukaryotic large subunit ribosomal RNA", at positions 50 to 648 of the family's 3401-position model. The record is from RNAcentral. Lineage: Eukaryota; Fungi; Mucoromycota; Mucoromycetes; Mucorales; Mucoraceae.
GCGGAGGAAAAGAAAAUAACAAUGAUUUCCCUAGUAACGGCGAGUGAAGAGGAAAGAGCUCAAAGUUGGAAACUGUUUGGCUUAGCUAAACCGUAUUGUAAACUGUAGAAACAUUUUCCUGGCACGCCGGAUUAAUAAGUCCUUUGGAACAAGGCAUCAUGGAGGGUGAGAAUCCCGUCUUUGAUCCGAGUAGUUGUCUUUUGUGAUAUGUUUUCAAAGAGUCAGGUUGUUUGGGAAUGCAGCCUAAAUUGGGUGGUAAAUCUCACCUAAAGCUAAAUAUUUGCGAGAGACCGAUAGCGAACAAGUACCGUGAGGGAAAGAUGAAAAGAACUUUGAAAAGAGAGUUAAACAGUAUGUGAAAUUGUUAAAAGGGAACCGUUUGGAGCCAGACUGGUUUGACUGUAAUCAACCUAGAAUUCGUUCUGGGUGCACUUGCAGUCUAUACCUGCCAACAACAGUUUGAUUUGGAGGAAAAAAUUAGUAGGAAUGUAGCCUCUCGAGGUGUUAUAGCCUACUAUCAUACUCUGGAUUGGACUGAGGAACGCAGCGAAUGCCUUUAGGCAAGAUUGCUGGGUGCUUUCGCUAAUAAAUGUUAGAAUUUCUGCUUCGGGUGGUGCUAAUGUUUAAAGGAGGAACACAUCUAGUAUAUUUUUUAUUCGCUUAGGUUGUUGGCUUAAUGACUCUAAAUGAC